GACGAACGCUGGCGGCGUGCUUAACACAUGCAAGUCGAACGGAAAGGCCCUGCUUUUGUGGGGUGCUCGAGUGGCGAACGGGUGAGUAACACGUGAGUAACCUGCCCUUGACUUUGGGAUAACUUCAGGAAACUGGGGCUAAUACCUGAUAGGAGCUCCUGCUGCAUGGUGGGGGUUGGAAAGUUUCGGCGGUUGGGGAUGGACUCGCGGCUUAUCAGCUUGUUGGUGGGGUAGUGGCUUACCAAGGCUUUGACGGGUAGCCGGCCUGAGAGGGUGACCGGCAACAUUGGGACUGAGAUACGGACCAGACUCCUACGGGAGGCAGGAGUGGGGAAUAUUGCACAAUGGGCGGAAGCCUGAUGAAGCAACGCCGCGUGCGGGAUGACGGCCUUCGGGUUGUAAACCGCUUUCGCCUGUGACGAAGAGUGAGUGACGGUAAUGGGUAAAGAAGCACCGGCUAACUACGUG
Molecule: ribosomal RNA, 468 nt
Filed under: uncultured bacterium
Lineage: Bacteria
Description: partial 16S ribosomal RNA
Rfam family: Bacterial small subunit ribosomal RNA
Source: RNAcentral